This 453-nucleotide ribosomal RNA is filed under the name Catonella morbi. RNAcentral describes it as "bacterial SSU rRNA". It matches the Rfam family "Bacterial small subunit ribosomal RNA", at positions 28 to 481 of the family's 1533-position model. Lineage: Bacteria; Bacillati; Bacillota; Clostridia; Lachnospirales; Lachnospiraceae. The record is from RNAcentral.
GAUGAACGCGGCGGCGUGCCUAACACAUGCAAGUCGAACGGAGAUUACGGACGGAAGUUUUCGGAUGGAAGCCUGUAAUUCUUAGUGGCGGACGGGUGAGUAACGCGUGGGCAACCUGCCCUAUACAGGGGGAUAGCAGCUGGAAACGGCUGGUAAGACCGCAUAAGUCGGUUAAAUCGCAUGAUUUGAUCGGGAAAUGAGCAAUCAGGUAUAGGAUGGGCCCGCGUCCGAUUAGCCAGUUGGCAGGGUAAAAGCCUACCAAAGCGACGAUCGGUAGCCGGACUGAGAGGUCGGACGGCCACAUUGGGACUGAGACACGGCCCAAACUCCUACGGGAGGCAGCAGUGGGGGAUAUUGCACAAUGGAGGAAACUCUGAUGCAGCGACGCCGCGUGAGUGAAGAAGUAUUUCGGUAUGUAAAGCUCUAUCAGCAGGGAAGAUGAUGACGUACCUG